RNAcentral lists this ribosomal RNA (481 nucleotides) under uncultured bacterium. RNAcentral describes it as "partial 16S ribosomal RNA". It matches the Rfam family "Bacterial small subunit ribosomal RNA", at positions 355 to 853 of the family's 1533-position model. The record is from RNAcentral.
UGGGGAAUAUUGGACAAUGGGGGCAACCCUGAUCCAGCCAUGCCGCGUGAGUGAUGAAGGCCUUCGGGUUGUAAAGCUCUUUUGGCGGGGACGAUGAUGACGGUACCCGCAGAAUAAGCCCCGGCUAACUUCGUGCCAGCAGCCGCGGUAAGACGAAGGGGGCUAGCGUUGUUCGGAAUUACUGGGCGUAAAGCGAGUGUAGGCGGUUGCCGUAGUCAGGUGUGAAAGCCUUGAGCUCAACUCAAGAAAUGCACUUGAUACUGGGUGACUAGAGGACCGGAGAGGAUAGUGGAAUUCCCAGUGUAGUGGUGAAAUACGUAGAGAUUGGGAAGAACACCAGUGGCGAAGGCGGCUAUCUGGACGGUUACUGACGCUAAGACUCGAAAGCGUGGGGAGCAAAACAGGAUUAGAUACCCUGGUAGUCCACGCCGUAAACGAUGGGUGCUAGACGUUGGCGAGCUUGCUCGUCAGUGUCGCAGCU